RNAcentral lists this long non-coding RNA (257 nucleotides) under Homo sapiens (human). RNAcentral describes it as "HSALNT0329310". The record is from RNAcentral. Lineage: Eukaryota; Metazoa; Chordata; Mammalia; Primates; Hominidae.
CCAGGCUAGAGUGCAAUGGCUUGAUCUCAGCUCACUGCAACCUCCACCUCCCAGGUUCAAGUGAUCCUCCUGCCUCAGCCUCCCAAGUAGGGUAGCUGGGACUACAGGCGCGUGCAAACAUGCCUGGCUAAUUUUUGUAUUUUCAGUAGAGACGGGGUUUCACCAUGUUGGCUAGGCUGGUCUCGAACUCCAGACCUCAAGAGAUCCGCCCUCCUUGGCCUCCCAAAGUGCUGGGAUUACAGGCAUGAGCCACCAUG